UACGUAGGGAGUGAGCGUUAUCCGGAAUCAUUGGGCGUAAAGAGCUCGUAGGCGGUUCAGCAAAUCGGCUGUGAAAGUCCGAGGCUCAACCCUGGAAUUGCAGUCGAUACUGCUGUGACUCGAGUCCGGUAGAGGAGAACGGAAUUCCCGGUGUAGCGGUGAAAUGCGCAGAUAUCGGGAGGAACACCAGUAGCGAAGGCGGUUCUCUGGGCCGGCGCUGACGCUGAGGAGCGAAAGCGUGGGGAGCGAACAGG
This 254-nucleotide ribosomal RNA is filed under the name uncultured bacterium. RNAcentral describes it as "partial 16S ribosomal RNA". It matches the Rfam family "Bacterial small subunit ribosomal RNA", at positions 524 to 776 of the family's 1533-position model. The record is from RNAcentral.